UAGGUAGGCUGAUUUUACAUAAUAAGAUAUGAAACACCCAACGUGGGCUAUGUUGAAUGACCCAGUGGCCAUUUUUCUUAACAAUUUGGAUGUUCCAAAUUUUUUAUUUAUUUAGAUGUUUGUUUUUGGUGGUCCUACAGCAAAAUUGGGGAUCUGUUUCUCAUAUCAUCUAUAUUCAUUUCUUAGAUCAGCUAAAACAAUACUGAUUUGGAGAGUGGCCAUUUUUCUUAACAAUUUGGAUGUUCCAAAUUUUUUAUUUAUUUAGAUGUUUGUUUUUGGUGGUCCUACAGCAAAAAUUGGGGAUCUGUUUCUCAUAUCAUCUAUAUUCAUCUCUUAGAUCAGCUAAAACAAUACUGAUUUGGAGAGCUCACUAUGUGAACAAUACUGAUUUGGAGAGUUCACUAUGUGCUCCAGAUCAAUCCCUUCUCCCUCUUGACCAGUAUAGGAAAAAUCGGACCGUUUAAAUUGGAACUGCAGGUUAGAUCGGAACAGACCAUAUUUCAGUUUUGGCCAGUAUUGGUGAGCUGGUCGGGUAUUUAAAAAAUUAAAAAUUUUAUAUAAAAUUUUAAAAAAUAAGGGAUUUUGGCAAAGAUUGAAAAUUGUUUUAGUCAUUACCACUUAUUUUUACAUUUUUCCAUAUAUUUGUUUUAGAGAUUUUCAAAAACAGCCCGAGGCUCAAAAUCAAUUCUUUAAAAUCCAUCUUUCUCAUUAAUUUUUAAUUUCAUAUGGAUGUGCUUUGUUUAACCGCUCGGGGCCGGUUGAACCGGCCGGUUUACCGGUUCCUAUUGAGUAACUGUUUCCAGCCCCAUGUUUAGUUAACUGUUCCGGUUCGAUUUUUCCUACACUGCUCUUGACUAUCCUUUUUUUGGGAAUCAAAUCUAAGCUUUUUAAGCCGAUAAUCACUUCAUCCUUUUCAGAAAAGGGAAAGCUUUUUAUGUUCCCACUACAACAUAGAAGUUCUAUGUUCCCCUUGCCAUUCAGCUCUCAAUUUUUUAUCAAGAGAGCUACUUACAGUUUGAUCUUAGAUCUUAGAUUUGACGUCUUAAAGUAUUUUAUUUUUAGCUUUUUUAAUAUAUUUUUUUGAAUAUGAAAUUUGGUACGUGUCACCUUCUUUAUAGGGGCGCACCUAUAAAAAAUAUUAACAAUAAUUUUUUGAUAAAAAUUAAUAACCAAAAUACCCCUUGAAACUUUAAAGGGUAUUUUGGCCAUUUUAUUUUAUUAAAAAUAUUUUUUUUUUAUUUUUUCAUUAGUACGAGUUUAAUAUAAGAAUGGAUGCUCAAAAUUUGAUGUCAAAACAGUUUAUAGAAAAAAAAAUUAAAAAUAAAACAGUGUCUAGACGUGACAUUGUGAUUGGGGCAAUCUUAGCCCUCCAUUAAAAAAUGGACGGUUGGAUAAAGGGGAACAUAGAACUUCUAUGUUAUAGGGGGAACAUAGAAAUAUUUCCCUUCAGAAAAAUAAGGUCAAUAAACUGAUCUUUAUUCAUUUUCAAAUUACAAAAGCCCCCUCUAAUUAAGUGUCGUUGCUCGUGAGAUUAAAAGUAAAGUUUGCUCUUGGUGGACGACGAUAUAUGCACCCUUUUUUAAUGAUCCAAAUUACAUGACGUUUGUGUAAGGUGCCCACCUUAUACUAUACAAGUGUCACCUCAAAAUUGUGUCGGAGGACACGAUUCCAAUGUUAAAAAUCUUAAGAUGGCUUUAACAUCUAUGUUUCAAUUGUAAUUAUGAAAUUUAAAAUUUCGAAAAUGUAGAUCGAGCCUCGACCCGUAAACACUUUGGAAAUUUUAAAAAUAUGUUGUUUUUAGGGUUAGGAAUUGUUUUUUUCUUUGUAUCCUUAUAUCUUUUGGUUGGGAUGAUCAAUUGGAAGGUUUUCUAGAUUCAAAACACUAUUUUCUACUGGAUCUUUAAAGUUUACCGUACUUCUAUAGUAUAUGGUUACAACUUUAUAUGAAGUUUUUCCAUAUAUAAUGAUUUUCUCUUAUGGACGCUAUUAACUUGUGGAAAUGCAGGCACGUUAAUAAAUCUAUUUUUGGGAUGGCUCUUUGGACUUAAUUUUUAGGGAUAUGUAAUCUUUAGCGUGGAGAUCAUGAAUAUGAAAAAAUAAAUAAAAUUUCAAAUUAAAAUGAUAAGUCUAUUAAAAAAACAUUUGAACCAUUAAUUUCAAUUGUUUUUAGAUUGACCAUACGUUUGCAUCCACUGUUAAGAUGAAUUCUUUAUACUUCUAGACGACAUGUGUAGAAAUGCAAUCUAACGCGCAUGAAACAAUUUUCCUCCUCUUACUGCCAUAUGUUGUUUGAAACAAUUUUCCUCCUCUUACUGCCAUAUGUUGUUUAAAGAGGGAAUAUUUUGUGAGUAGACUUAGGAGAGUAUAUGCUAAUUUUAUUAGGUGUUGGGACUUCAGCAGUGAGAAAGAUAGUCAUGACUAUUGUUUACAAAAUCGCCCAAUCUAACUACUAACUACCCGGUUAAAUCGGAACCGGCCAGUGGCCGGUUUUAGUUUUGGGCGGUUGGUGUGAUCAACUGUUAUUUAAAAAACAAAAUUAAAAAAAAUGUAUAUAAAUUCUCAAAAAUAAGGAAUUUGAAUUGUAAUGCAUUUUUUAAUAUUCUUUACAUUAUGGUAAAGAUUAAAAAAAAAAAUUGAUCAUUAAUACGCACUUUUAUAUUUUUCUCAUUUUUGAUUUUUUUUAAAAAAUAGCCAUUAGAAAAUAUAAAAUGGAUUAAAAUCUAUUUUUUUCAUUAAUUUUCAACUUCUAUUGAAUGUGUUUUGUUUUAAU
RNAcentral lists this long non-coding RNA (2770 nucleotides) under Amborella trichopoda. RNAcentral describes it as "long non-coding RNA (ATRI_LNC000162)". Lineage: Eukaryota; Viridiplantae; Streptophyta; Magnoliopsida; Amborellales; Amborellaceae. The record is from RNAcentral.